GAUGAACGCUGGCGGCGUGCCUAAUACAUGCAAGUCGAGCGAACAGACGAGGAGCUUGCUCCUCUGACGUUAGCGGCGGACGGGUGAGUAACACGUGGAUAACCUACCUGUAAGACUGGGAUAACUUCGGGAAACCGGAGCUAAUACCGGAUAAUAUAUUGAACCGCAUGGUUCAAUAGUGAAAGACGGUUUUGCUGUCACUUAUAGAUGGAUCCGCGCCGCAUUAGCUAGUUGGUAAGGUAACGGCUUACCAAGGCAACGAUGCGUAGCCGACAUGAGAGGGUUAUCGGCCACACUGGAACUGAGGCACGGUCCAGACUCCUACGGGAGGCAGCAUUAGGGAAUCUUCCGCAAUGGGCGAAAGCCUUACGGAGCAACGCCGCGUGAGUGAUGAAGGUCUUCGGAUCGUAAAACUCUGUUAUUAGGGAAGAACAAAUGUGUAAGUAACUAUGCACGUCUUGACGGUACCUAAUCAGAAAGCCACGGCUAACUACGUG
This 497-nucleotide ribosomal RNA is filed under the name uncultured bacterium. RNAcentral describes it as "partial 16S ribosomal RNA". It matches the Rfam family "Bacterial small subunit ribosomal RNA", at positions 28 to 507 of the family's 1533-position model. The record is from RNAcentral.